CACUGACGUCGCGACGCAUAUCAAUAAGCGGAGGAAAAGAAACUAACAAGGAUUCCCUUAGUAACGGCGAGUGAAGCGGGAAGAGCUCAAAUUUGAAAUCUUCAAGGUUUUACCUUGACGAAUUGUAGUUUAAAGAAGUGUUUUCUGUUAGUGGAGUGGCAAAAGUUCUUUGGAAUAGGACAUCAUAGAGGGUGAGAAUCCCGUAUUUGAUCCAUUAUUUCUAGCUAUGUGAUACACUUUCAAAGAGUCGGAUUGUUUGGGAAUGCAGUCCAAAAUGGGUGGUAAAUUUCAUCUAAAGCUAAAUAUUGGCGAGAGACCGAUAGCGAACAAGUACCGUGAGGGAAAGAUGAAAAGAACUUUGAAAAGAGAGUUAAACAGUACGUGAAAUUGUCAAAAGGGAAGCGUUUGACACCAGUGUUGUUUUCCGAAAAUCAAUUAUAAAUGUUUUGUUUCUGAGGAGUGAUGACUUCAUCGGCUUCCUUCUCUCUUCACGAAACUUUUGUAAUGCACUUUUCGGUUAACAAGUCAACAUCAAUUUCUUUUGUUGUAAAAGAGUAUUCGGAAGGUGGCUUUCUUUUCGGAGAAAGUGUUUAUAGCCCUAUACUUCUACAAUCGGAGAGAUUGAGGUCUGCAGCGUAGAUCCUUCGGGGUUAGAUACACUUGUGCUAAGUUAUAGCUUUUCAUAGACAACUUGUUGACUAUGUUUAGUCCUUGUAGGCUUACUCGCUUAUGCUAUUUUACCUACGCUUAGGAUGUUGAGUCGUAGAGCACGCAG
Molecule: ribosomal RNA, 775 nt
Filed under: uncultured Neocallimastigales
Lineage: Eukaryota; Fungi; Neocallimastigomycota; Neocallimastigomycetes; Neocallimastigales
Description: partial large subunit ribosomal RNA
Rfam family: Eukaryotic large subunit ribosomal RNA
Source: RNAcentral